This 29-nucleotide non-coding RNA is filed under the name Mus musculus (house mouse). Lineage: Eukaryota; Metazoa; Chordata; Mammalia; Rodentia; Muridae. The record is from RNAcentral.
UGUAAAUUUGUGGGUAGGUAGCAUUUUAG